UCUUUCAUUAAUCGAAAUGCCACUGCCCACUCCUAAAGACCUCCAUCUCCAAACGUUUUGCUCUGUCCUCUUGUCCUAUUCUCAAAUUUGCACUAUGGUGGAGUUUACACCUCCGUUCUAUCUCAGGUAAGCAUCCAUCAAUCUUGGCGCCAUUUGCAAAGUAUGCCGACCGUCAAACACCUCCAUCUCCGACCGUCUGUUCUCCCCUCCUUUCCUCUUGUUCUUAGCAAGUCUACGAUCUCGGGUGUUGCAUACACAUUACAUUCUCCAGACCCUACUUGUGGAAUUACAAUGGCUGAAAAUAAUCCUGUUGAGGUCUCUAAUAAUGUUGUUCUACAAAGGCUUCUUCUGAGUUGAAGUAAUAGGAUUUGCAGUGAUGAUUUUCACUGCAGCAACUUCAUUCGCUUUCAUUUGUUGGGAGAUUAAUCAGAUGCUUUUCUGUCACACACACUUGGGAUUUUCGCUUUGGAUUAGUCUUGAAGACACAUAUAUGCACCCAAUCCCAUUUAAUAACCUUCAUAAUUUUAUAGAAACUGUAUCUUCUUUAUGAAUCUGACAGUCUUUUCAAUAGUGGAAACAUAAUUGAGCCCAU
Long non-coding RNA from Solanum tuberosum (potato), 592 nucleotides. RefSeq lists it as uncharacterized. The transcript is spliced from 3 exons. The record is from RefSeq and is a predicted model, not a curated record. Lineage: Eukaryota; Viridiplantae; Streptophyta; Magnoliopsida; Solanales; Solanaceae.